CAAUCGAACCCGGAGAUAGCUGGUUCUCCUCGAAAUAGCUUUAGGGCUAGCCUCGCAUUAGUUUACCGGAGGUAGAGCACUGAAUGGUCUAGGGGGCCUCACCGCCUACCGAAACCUAUCAAACUGCGAAUGCCGGAUAAAUGAUGUGCGGGAGUCAGGCCGCGAGAGAUAAGUUCCGCGGUCAAAAGGGGAACACCCCAGAUCGUCUGCUAAGGUCCCCAAGUACGCGUUAAGUGGGAAAGGAUGUUGGAUUGCACAGACAACCAGGAUGUUGGCUUAGAAGCAGCCACACAUUCAAAGAGUGCGUAAUAGCUCACUGGUCGAGUGAUCCAGCGCCGAAAAUGUAACGGGGCUAAAACGCGACACCGAAGCAGCGGGAUGCGUAAGCAUCGGUAGAGGAGCAUUGUGUGAGGAUAGAAGCCAGAGCGGGAGCACUGGUGGACUUCACAGAAGAGAGAAUGCCGGUAUGAGUAGCGAGACCCAUGCGAGAAACAUGGGCGUCGAAGGCCCAAGGUUUCCUGGGGAAGGUUCAUCCACCCAGGGUAAGUCGGGACCUAAGCCGAGGACUGAGGUCGUAGGCGAUGGACAGCAGGUAGAGAUUCCUGCACCACUUACACUUGUUUGACGAAGCAGUGACACAGAAGGAUAGGACGAGCGCGGUGAUGGUCAACCGCGUAGGCGGCACGAGGCUGAGAAGCAGUAAAGUACACUUCUCAUGAAGGCUGAGUGCUGACAGGACCGAAAAAGAGUAGGGAAGCGUCUGAGUUCACGCUGGCGAGAAAAGCUGCUAAGGAGAGUGUGAGUGCCCGUACCGGAAACCGACGCAGGUGGGCGAGGAGAGAAUCCUGAGACGGACGGGAGAACUCUUGUUAAGGAACUCGGCAAAAUGACCCCGUAACUUCGGGAGAAGGGGUGCCUCGAAAGAGGCCGCAGAGAAUAGUCACAAGCGACUGUUUAGCAAAAACACAGGUAUCUGCGAAAGCGAGAGCUGACGUAUAGGUGCUGACGCCUGCCCGGUGCUGGAAGGUUAAGGGGAAGUGUUAGGGGGAACCCGAAGCAGAGAACCGAAGCCCCAGUAAACGGCGGCCGUAACUAUAACGGUCCUAAGGUAGCGAAAUUCCUUGUCGGGUAAGUUCCGACCCGCACGAAUGGCGUAACGACUUGUGAGCUGUCUCAACAGGAGGCCCGGUGAAAUUGAAGUAUGUGUGAAGAUGCACAUUACCCGCGACUGGACGGAAAGACCCCGUAGAGCUUUACUGUAACCUGACAUUGGAUCUUGAUAACGGAUGCACAGGAUAGGUGGGACGCUGGGAGGUAUGGACUUUGGUCUGUACGGAGCGGACGUUGGGAUACCACUCUUCUGUUAUUGAGAUUCUAACCUCAAGCCGUAAGCCGGAUGAGAGACAGUGUCAGGCGGACAGUUUGACUGGGGCGGUCGCCUCCGAAAGAGUAACGGAGGCGCCCAAAGGUACCCUCAGAAUGGAUGGAAACCAUUCGAAGAGAGCAAAGUCAGAAGGGUGCUUGACUGCGAGACCAACAAGUCGAGCAGGUACGAAAGUAGGGCUUAGUGAUCCGGCGGUAAGAGAGUGGAAUUGCCGUCGCUCAACGGAUAAAAGCUACCUCGGGGAUAACAGGCUGAUCUCCCCCAAGAGUUCACAUCGACGGGGAGGUUUGGCACCUCGAUGUCGGCUCGUCGCAUCCUGGGGCUGAAGCAGGUCCCAAGGGUUUGGCUGUUCGCCAAUUAAAGCGGCACGCGAGCUGGGUUCAGAACGUCGUGAGACAGUUCGGUCCCUAUCCAUCGUGGGCGAAGGACACAUGAGAGGAGCUGCUCCUAGUACGAGAGGACCGGAGUGGACGCAUCACUGGUGCAACUGUUGUCGUGCCAACGGCACAGCAGGGAAGCGAAAUGCGGAUGGGAUAAACGCUGAAGGCAUCUAAGCGUGAAGCCCACCUCAAGAAUAAGACUCCACAAUAGACCCCUGGAGGACUACCAGGUAGAUAGGUCAUCGGUGGAAGCGCUGUAAGGCGUGUAGCUUGAUGAUACUAAUCGGUCGAAAGCUUCAUUUA
RNAcentral lists this ribosomal RNA (2067 nucleotides) under human gut metagenome. RNAcentral's name for it is "bacterial LSU rRNA". It matches the Rfam family "Bacterial large subunit ribosomal RNA", at positions 830 to 2925 of the family's 2925-position model. The record is from RNAcentral.